Molecule: ribosomal RNA, 765 nt
Filed under: Aneurinibacillus aneurinilyticus
Lineage: Bacteria; Bacillati; Bacillota; Bacilli; Caryophanales; Paenibacillaceae
Description: bacterial SSU rRNA
Rfam family: Bacterial small subunit ribosomal RNA
Source: RNAcentral
UCGAGCGGACCAAAGAAGAGCUUGCUCUUCGGCGGUUAGCGGCGGACGGGUGAGUAACACGUAGGCAACCUGCCUGUACGACUGGGAUAACUCCGGGAAACCGGAGCUAAUACCGGAUACGUUUUUCAGACCGCAUGGUCUGAAAGAGAAAGACCUUUGGUCACGUACAGAUGGGCCUGCGGCGCAUUAGCUAGUUGGUGGGGUAACGGCCUACCAAGGCGACGAUGCGUAGCCGACCUGAGAGGGUGAUCGGCCACACUGGGACUGAGACACGGCCCAGACUCCUACGGGAGGCAGCAGUAGGGAAUCUUCCGCAAUGGACGAAAGUCUGACGGAGCAACGCCGCGUGAACGAUGAAGGUUUUCGGAUCGUAAAGUUCUGUUGUUAGGGAAGAACCGCCGGGAUGACCUCCCGGUCUGACGGUACCUAACGAGAAAGCCCCGGCUAACUACGUGCCAGCAGCCGCGGUAAUACGUAGGGGGCAAGCGUUGUCCGGAAUUAUUGGGCGUAAAGCGCGCGCAGGCGGCUUCUUAAGUCAGGUGUGAAAGCCCACGGCUCAACCGUGGAGGGCCACUUGAAACUGGGAGGCUUGAGUGCAGGAGAGGAGAGCGGAAUUCCACGUGUAGCGGUGAAAUGCGUAGAGAUGUGGAGGAACACCCGUGGCGAAGGCGGCUCUCUGGCCUGUAACUGACGCUGAGGCGCGAAAGCGUGGGGAGCGAACAGGAUUAGAUACCCUGGUAGUCCACGCCGUAAACGUUGAGUGCU